Non-coding RNA from Acanthosepion pharaonis, 105 nucleotides. The record is from the annotation of a GenBank genome assembly. Lineage: Eukaryota; Metazoa; Mollusca; Cephalopoda; Sepiida; Sepiidae.
ACGACUAUAUUACAUUGAAACCUUUCUCGUACGAUCACUGAAGUUAAGCAAGGUUGGGCCUGGUCAGUACUUAGAUGGCUGCUUGCGAAUACCAGGUGCUGUCAU